CUUCUCCCUCCGCCGCGGAGAAACUAAAUUAAAGGGUCUGGGACUGAACGCUCCCCCCGGCCGCUGGGAGAACUGGUAAAGGAGCAGUGGGAGUAACUAACGUCCAGGAUGAACUUAAAGACAACAUAAACCAGAAGAGGAACUAUACGUAAACCUGUAAGCUAAAGGGCCAACACUGAAAAGAGACUGAGUGCUCCUCCUGCCGACAGGGACCGGUAAUGAUGUUCAGCAUCUGCUGGAGGAGACUGACUGGAUGUCCUCUGCUUGGUGAGCAAGGACAGUGUGUUAGAGGGAGGCUUAGGAUGAAACAUCUAUGACUCCAGCAGAAAUUUAAGGUAACUGGGCCACCUAUUGCUGUAAGUGGGGCACUGCGACGUCACAACGAUAACCUGAAGACAAAGCUAACACUGAACACAGCCCGGGUUAAAUGGGUUCAGUGCUGAAAACGGCCCAUACAGAAAUGUAAUACAGCACCAGUCCUGCUGGAAAAUGAAAUCU
This is a long non-coding RNA of Astyanax mexicanus (Mexican tetra), 498 nucleotides long. RefSeq lists it as uncharacterized. The transcript has 3 exons. Lineage: Eukaryota; Metazoa; Chordata; Actinopteri; Characiformes; Acestrorhamphidae. The record is from RefSeq and is a predicted model, not a curated record.